This is a long non-coding RNA of Siniperca chuatsi (mandarin fish), 1772 nucleotides long. RefSeq lists it as uncharacterized. The transcript is spliced from 3 exons. NCBI's taxonomy places the organism in Eukaryota, Metazoa, Chordata, Actinopteri, Centrarchiformes, Sinipercidae. The record is from RefSeq and is a predicted model, not a curated record.
CUGAAACCUUUUCUACGAUUUACACAUACAAGGAAUUUGCUUUCGUAUUAUGCUGACUGUCCGUCCGGCACAGAAGUUGCAGAGCAGGUGCACGUUAACCGUUGCACUCGAUCUUCUGCCAACGAAAAUGUCGAGCAGCCGUUUAAAAGAGUCGUGGAUUGUUCUGGAUAAAAUAUACGAAAACCCUCACUUGGGAUGAAUGUUACGCCGUCCGCGCCAUCGGCUGGCUGUUUCCAACGAUGGGAGUCCGAGAUGGACGAUUUCAGUCCAGUGGAGAAGGAUCCUGUAGAUCCAAAGGACGAAGAAUGGUGUUUUUCUGCUGCUUCCUCCCCUUUGGAUCUGCAUCCACCUUCCAACGCCCCACUCCCAUCCCCCUGCAACAUCUUGGUCACCACCCCGAUUUAGAGCGCCCGUUCCCAUUUGACGCGGGUGUGGCUGCUGCUGCUGCUGCAGCUGUAGCCAAAGGAGGUACAGACCAAGGAGAUACAGGCCGAGAAGUCACAGGCCAAGAGUACCAUCAUGGCAGCACCUUCCUGUGGCCACCCAGCCUACCAAGUGGUACCAGGUUGUCGGGAGCAUGCAGUGCAGCCACUGCAGAACCCAGGGGAGGCACCAGACGACGUCUUGGAUGUGCCAGAGCUGCGAGGGGCCCCCUGUGCCUGGUGCCACAUCGGAACUGCUACGCAAAAUGGCACGGCCUUCAUAGGACGAAAAGCAGUGAAAGUUUAUUCUCCCAUGAUGGGAUGAGUUCUUGUGUUAGUGCGACUUUUGUCAGCCUGUAGGCUUUUCUUGUUUCUCCUUUACUCUCAAAUUUGUAGUUAACGUGCAACGUGCUGAUUAUUGUAAUGCAAAAUAUUAAUGUGGCUUUUCAAAGAGGGACACCACUUGUUUUUACUUUCUCUGAGUAGUUCCUUAAACAUUACAAGAAAAAUGAUCUUUAAAAGUUGCUGUGGGGGGUGGUCAACAGGUUUGCACUCCAUUGUUAUUUGUAUAUUCCCACUUUUGCGAUUAUAUAUUUUUAGGGAAAACAACUGUAUUCUAUACUCGAUAUUCUGUUACUUCUAUUAAGUUUCCCUAUUUCUGUAAACGUUAAUUGCUGAUUCAAUUGCAGAGAAGAUGCAUGUGGUUGUUUUUUUCUUUAUUUUUAUACUAGACCACUUUACAUGUGGGUGGCUGGAUAUUGCAGUGAAUAGGGUAACUGAACAUUAAUAUCUAGAAGUCAUACAAUGUAAUGAGAUGUCAGUGAGAUACACAGUUUACCAGCUGCAAGAUGGCUGCAUGAUUUCACUAUUAAGUGAGGGUGGUAAAGAACAUACCUGCUGUAACAACAGCAUUUACUUUGGGUUCAAAGUGAAUAUCAUAUGAAUGAAUAUGGGAUCACUUCAGACAUUUCACUUCAGGUGAUGUGUCUGGGGUAUUUUUAGAUACUGUCAUAUUUUAUUAACAAAUGACCCAUGAGAUUCUGCGUUAUAUCCACGCUCUGCAGUUAUUUGUGCAGCUUAACUUUUCAAGGUUAUUCGUUGUGUCGCUUGCACUGCUGUCACUGUUAAAGAGGCAUUCAGAUGCCUCAAGGAAAAAGUAAGAAAAAAAUACAAACACUCAGAAUUUUGUUUAAGUGAACGUACUUCAUAAAAGUAUCAAAUGUAAAAGCAGUUAUCAUUUAGAAUGGCCUCUUUCAGAGCCUAUUAAUUAUUAAUACACUGACGUGUAACCAAUAUGUAUUUGAAUGUUGUAGUUGGUGCUACAUUAAAUUACUGUCCUGCUACAAACUA